This 276-nucleotide long non-coding RNA is filed under the name Salvia miltiorrhiza (redroot sage). RNAcentral describes it as "long non-coding RNA (SMIL_LNC009516)". The record is from RNAcentral. Lineage: Eukaryota; Viridiplantae; Streptophyta; Magnoliopsida; Lamiales; Lamiaceae.
CUGCUGUAAUAGAAAUUUUAUUAAAAGGAAAAUAGAAAGAACAAAAACAAGUGAAAGCACCCGCGAGAAGCCACGAGAAACCGAAAAACAAACAAGACUAAGAGAACAUUUUUAGAGGAUCAUCCUCAUCAAAACAAUCUUCGUCGUCAAGCAUAUCUCCCCAUCUUUUAGAAACCACGGUCGACAUAGCACGAGCAGCGUCAGAAGAAGAAGAGUGUAUCACAAAAUUUUGCAUAAGCGCGCCUUCAGAAUGAGCAUGUUGCACUUUUUUCAAGA